CAGCCGCCGCGGUAAUACGAAGGGGGCUAGCGUUGCUCGGAAUCACUGGGCGUAAAGGGCGCGUAGGCGGACUGAUAAGUCAGGGGUGAAAUCCCAAGGCUCAACCUUGGAACUGCCUUUGAUACUGUUUGUCUUGAGUUCGAGAGAGGUAAGUGGAACUGCGAGUGUAGAGGUGAAAUUCGUAGAUAUUCGCAAGAACACCAGUGGCGAAGGCGGCUUACUGGCUCGAAACUGACGCUGAGGCGCGAAAGCGUGGGGAGCAAACAGGAUUAGAUACCCGAGUAGUCCCUGUCUCUUAUAC
This 301-nucleotide ribosomal RNA is filed under the name uncultured bacterium. RNAcentral's name for it is "partial 16S ribosomal RNA". It matches the Rfam family "Bacterial small subunit ribosomal RNA", at positions 509 to 807 of the family's 1533-position model. The record is from RNAcentral.